UAGCCAGCAAGGACUGGUGUAGGUUAAUCUGUCAUGUGUGAAGUGGUCUUGCUGCUUGAGGCAGCAUGCAUUGCUCAAACCUCCAUCCAAACACAAACUGAGGUGAACUAAGGAGGGAGUGCUCCAUGGUAGGAAGUGAACAAGUGGACAACUUAGGAGUGGAAUGUGGCCAUUCAGCCCUUUGAGCCUGUUCCUAUUCAGUAAGUCUGGCAACGUCAGCUCUGCAUUCCUGUGAACCUGUAUUAGACCCUGCACUUGUUUUCCUGUGAAUCCUGCUCAUAUGAUGCUAUUUGCCUGUGAUGCUACUGCAAUUUAUCAUCUGCUGGUGAUACAAUCAACCAAGGCCUGGGCUGCUUUUACGACUGGUCACAGAAUGCCAGGGUAGGUAUCUUUCCUCAUUUCCCUGGGUGGAAUUUGCCAUUCCCCGUAUAUCUGCUGAACUGUUUACCUCAGUACUGUUUGUGGGAUCUUACUGUGCAUAAGUAGGUUAUUACCUCACAACAAGAACCGUCCUUAAGACAUGUGCUUUGAAGCACUAUAGUUGUAGAAAUAUAGUUGUAUAUCUCUGGUUGUAGAAAGAGAAAAAUAAUGCUAAGGUUUGUUUUAGUUUUGUAUCAUAUUUCAUGGAUGCAAACUCUGCUUUGGGAGAGCAGAAUUAAUGAGGAACCACCCCAUUCCAUCACACCCAGCUUGAAGCAAUCCACAGAGAGACAGGCAGCCUUGGACUGAUUCCCUUCCCCUUCUCCAAAGGGAGCUCAAAUAUGUUGUUCCGUCCCUCCUCUCCACCCUGCAGCCCCAAUCGCAUCCUCUGUUAUGAGAUCAGUUCUGACUCAGCUGAGUGGAACGUGAACCCUUGCCAGUCUGUAUGGGUGGUGGAUGUACACAGCAAACAAUCUGAGGGACAGGAGUGUUAUUAAUGAGCUGCUCCUGAGCCUGAUUGCCAGGGUAUUGGCAGAACCAUUCCAGUCAACCAUCUGGAGAGCAUAAGGAAGAGGAAAGAGAUCAUGUCCAUUGGAAUCGUAUCUGGAAGCAAUUGCCUUUCUGUGUCUCUCACAUUCUUUAUUCCAAAUUAAACCCAGCUUUGCUUCAUUCACGCAUAACAACCAUCAUAAAUGAGCCACAUACCAAGGGAUGACCAGGCCAAAGAGAGUUACUUUUUUCACAUCAGACACAUGUAAUGGUCUUAUAAGAAAAUGCAAUGGGGUCUGCCAUGUGGCCUUUUGAUCUCAUUCCACCAUUCAUCAAGAUCAUGACAAAUGUACCUUGGCACCGUGCUCCUGCUCUUUCCCCAAGUCCCUUGAUUCCCUUAAUGUCCAGAAAUCUACUGAUUUCUGUUUUGAAUACUCUCACUGACUGAGCUUCCACAGUCAAAUGAAGAAAUUUCAAAGUUUCACCAUCGUCUGCCCCGUGAAGCCUGCAUUUCACUGAGAUGCCUUCUCAGUCUUCCAGACUCUAGUGAGUGCUAUCUUUCCUCAAGUGACAAACCCACUAGCCCUGAACCUGGCUAGUGAAUCUGUGCUGUACUCUCUCUUUGGCAAGUACAUCUUUUUUACAUAAAGAGACAACAGCAUUGCCUAGUACUCCAAAUGCAGUCUCGACGAAGCUUUACGCAACUGCAAUAAGACUUCUUUGCUUUCUUACUCAAAGCCUCUGACAAUAAGUACUACUUGUCACUUACUGGCUUUGAGUGACUGGCGUACAAAAACACUUAAGUCUCUUUGAGCAUCAACAUUACCCAAUCUCUCACCAUUUAAAAAAAUACUCUUUUUAUGCUUUGUACAUUGAAGUAUAUAACUUCACAUUUUCCACAUUAUAUUCCAUCUGCCAUGUUGUCACUCAGCUUCUUCACCCCCUCUUAAGGCCUCUUUAUGUGGAUCGUUGAAUGGCUACAGCUCAGAAGGCAGCUCUUCGUCACACCCUCUUCCUUACUCAUGACCCCAUAUAGUUUCCUGCCAUUAUGAAGCCCCACUUCCUAAAGUGAACAUGAACCUUAAGUAUGCCAGAUCCAUUGGAUAAUGUAACCAGGAUUUAUAAAGAAGACACCAGAGAGCCUGCAGAUGCUGGAAUGUGGAGAGGGAUCAACAGCUGGAAGAGCUCUGCAGGCUGAGCAGCACUUACAGAUGCAGAGACACUUGAGAUUUUGGGUCAAGAACGUGCAAUUUUUUGCAGGAUUUAUAAUCACCCUCUUCUCUAAGGUGGAAUGUCCUGGGAUCAAAACUGACUUGAACAGGAAGUCUAGGUUAAUAUUCCAUUGUGCUAAUGAGGGAGUGGUGCACCAUUCAGAUGCUCCAUAUUUCACUUGAACAAUGGAAUUAUCUCGGGCAAAUGUGCAUGAGUUACCUCUGGUGUUACAGCCUAUAUAUAUAUUCCCCACUGAAGAUUGAUAAUCCCAUUGCUGUGUGUGUGUGUGUGGUGGAGUUUGUUGUGCAGAAGUAAGCUUUCAUGUUUCCUUAUACUACAAAAAAUGUAAACCAAAAGUAACUGUUGGCUAUUAAAUCUGCUAGAAUGGUCUUAGGAAUGGAUUUCACUGAAUCGUUUGGCCAUUACCCUCUCUGUAGUCUUGUGUGCAUUUCAAAGCUAUUUAGUAGCUAGGUAAUAAUCACCAGUUUUGAAAGAAAUGAUUACAGCCUCGCCCCAGGUUACAAGUGUCCGACUUAAGUACAGCCCAUGCAGGAACAGUAUGCAAGACACUGUACCUUGGUACAUGAGGCAAUAAUAAUUUCAAUCCCAAUUCCAAUUCUACAAGAGUUUGGAAGGCCGGAAGGAGGGAUUUGCCAGCUGUUGUGGAGCUGCAGGCAUCUUCUGCUGUCUGAGAAAUCAGCCGCUGGCCGCAAUUCUGACUCAUGAACAGUUUGGGUUACAAACAGAACUUUGAGUAGCCUUGGGAAGACAUGGACCUGGUUAGAAGACCUUGCAUAGAUGUCUGUGCUGCCCAUUGUCUCACUCCCUUAUACAAAGCUUUGUUGCCUGGUACUACCGGAGCGAGGGUGCCUGAAGACCACAGCUUUGCCAUAAAGAGGAUUCCAAAUGCUUCUUCCCUUUCCCUCUCCCCCCACCCUCCCCAGCUUGUGUCGGCAAUUACAUGGAUAACAGCAGGGAAAACUGAUUAUCAGGGAGACCCAGGUGCACACUCACUAGACGUCUAGGAAUGUGUAGCAAUCUAUCUGGAAAUGAUGUUCUGUGCAGACAUCUGUGUGUUUGACCACAAAUACAGCAGUGAAAGGGAGAAAGUACAUUCCUGACUACAGGGUAUAUAUUAAGAGUGUGACUGGCAAACACGUGUGAGCUCUCUGCAGUGACCUUUCCCUGGUUAAACUUCUGAAGAUAUUCCAGUGAUCUUUCUAUGAUGGGGAGUCUGUUAAUAGCUCUGCCACAUGAGGCUGUCUUAAGGCAAAUAUUAUGAUCAAUGCUGUGGGCUUUGACUGUUCUUCACCUCCCUGAAACUCAGAGUCUGCAAGCGAAUAUCUUUGGUUCAUGUCCUGACACCGCAUUCCUUUGCAGGUAAAUCACAAGAAAUAAUCCACUCCACAAGCACUCCCAGUCCAGAAUGGGUUAACAACAGGGCCCAUGUUUUUUCCAUUCUUUAACCUGAGUGCCUAAUUCUCACUGGAACCCCGGCAGAGCCCUGUUUGCCUGCAUGAAGCAUUGCAGUUCCAUUUAAUGCUGCUUGUGAUGUUUUUGGAUCUUCAGUUCACAUUUUCCGUUAGUAUUUCUGCAACCGCUGGAUCCUCUCGUGGUUGCAAAUGAUGCAAAAUAAAAGGUACAACAAGAAGUACAAGCUGUGUGCUUUAGAAUAAUGCGGCGGUACAGCAGGUAGUGUUGCUGCCUCACACCUCCAGUGACCCAGGUUCUGUCCUGGCCUCUAGAACUGUCCAUGUGGAGUUUGCACGUCCUCCCUGCGAUCACACGGAUUUCCCGCGGGUGUUCCCACUUCCUCCUAAAAUUGGCCACUGCGAAUGAUGCCUUAGCCCAAAUAGGUGAUGAAAGAGUCAUUAGAGAUUUGGUGAGCCUAAGAGGGAGAGAGAAUAAGCAGCAGAUGAAUGGAAAAAGAAGAAGGGUGAACUGAAACUGGUGGGGUUGCUCAUUCAGACCUAACAAUCUAACCAGCUGUGUUGCAGUCAGGGUCCAUAGUCUUGCAUUCUGAAGACACGUAAGUUUCCCACUCUGAGCUUUGUCUGCAGGCUCUCAUUGUCUGUCCUACACCCUGCCUGAGGGCUGCCUCCUCCAGUAAAGGCACUACUGUUAAACACUGCCUUCUGCUGAAAGAGGAAUAGGCAGGUUCUCUUCCAUCCAAAGAAAUAAAUGAAAGCGGACUAGAAGGGUCUCAACUCAAAAAAUAAACUGUCCAUUUCCCUCCACAGAUGCUGCCUGACCUGCUGAGUUCCUCCAAUUCCUUUGUGUGUUGCUCCAGAAGUCUGGAAUCUUGUGUUUCAAAUUAAUUAAAUCUUAUUUCUCUUCCUUCAUGGAUCUGUUGACAAUCUAUCAUCAAUCUAGGUGAGAAGCAUUAUGUCCGGUGAAAAAUUCCAGAGGUCUUAUAUUGUUCCUGACAUAUGCACCAGAGAUAUUUCCACUCUUUUCCAAUCAAAAUUGCUUUUUUGUAUCAUGGGACAUUUCUGCCCAACACUGAAUAUUAAUUCACAACGUGACCGACCACAGCCAUUCAGACGUACAGGUGCUGACAGCAAAGCAGCCUCACACUCCACAGGACCCAACUUCUUAACCCGGCAUUGAACACAGUCCACACUCCAACGAUGGAAACACAAGAAAACCCAGGUGCUGGAAGCUAAAUAACAACCUGCUCCAGGAACUCAGUGGGUCAAGCAGCAUCUGUGGAGGUAGGAGAAUUGUCGACAUCUUGGGUUGGCACCUGUGUCAGGAACUAAAGGCGAGCUAUUCGGUUAUUUGGCUGCUCUAAGCAGGUGGGGUGAAGAUAAAAGGGGAGUAGAUGGACUGUGAUUUCUAGAGUAUAUGGAGCCAGGUAAGCCAAAUGGCCUCAGCACGUGACACAAAAGUAGCAGCACAGUUUCAAGUCAGUCAGACCCAGUUAUGUAUGGCAUCCUCGUGGGAUGUUUCUCAACCAGUUUGAUACAGACUUGCUUGCUUCCCUUUCUUUUCCAUAUAUUUUCAAUGCAUUAAUUAAACAGUUUUGACUGCAUUUUUUAUUGGGGAAGUAAAUCACAGUUUUGCCUGGAGACACUGUUGAGGUCCAUUGAUGGUGGGAUGAGGUGAAAGGAUGGGUGGUGCAAGGCAAAGUGCUCUAUAAAGUGGUGCAAAUGGAAGAGGAGAUCAGAAAGUCAUGUGGGCAACAGUCCUUGAGGAAUGCUGAGACAGGAUGAUGUGGAGUCACUCUGAAUGUGGUGGGAAUUACGGAGAAUGAUCUGUUGAGUGUAUAGUUGGAAGUUAAUGAUCCAUCCCAGAGGAAAAAGGAGUAGAGCAGAGGCACAGAAAGUGGAUGAAAUGUGGUUAAGUGCUUGAGAGGGAACCAAGGUUCAUGAAGAAGGAAGACAUCCCAAAGGCACCUGUGUGGAUAGUCUUACAAUCAGAACAAACACGAUGGAGAUGGAGCAAUUGGGGGAAUGGCAAAGAGUCCUUACUAAGGCAGACUGGGACAAAGAAUGAUCAGAGUAGCCUUGGAGUCGGUGGGGUUACAAUAGAUGUUAGCAGCUAGCCUAUCUCCUGAGAUGGAGACAAAAAUAUCCACAAAAGGAUUGGAAGAGUUGGAGAUCGAAAGCAUGAAGUUGAGAGCAGAUUGGAAAUAGCCAGCAAUUAAUAAAAUUGUUGAGUUCGGCAGGAAACAGCGCCAAUCCAGUAAUUAAUUUCCGGUAUAGUUAUAGACUUGGCCAGCUCCAUCACAGACACAGCUCUCCCCACUAUCAAGGGCAUCUUUAAGAUACAGGUCUUCGAGAAUAUGGCAUCGGCCACUAAGGAUCCUUACCCUCCAGGACGGCUCCUUCCCCUCUAUCACCAGGAUUUCUAAAUGGUCCAGGAACCCAUGAACACUACAGUUUUUGCACUGUGCAUUUACUGUAUUUUGUAAUUUAUAGAUUUUUAGUUUUGCACUGGGCUGCUGUCACAAAACAACAAACUUCAUAUCAUAUGCCAGUGUUUCUGAUUCUGAUCUGGGCAAAGAGAAUGGAGUUCAAGAAGGGAUUGUUCAAUGUGAGAGGAAGUUCAGGCACGGUGGAAGGGAAUUAGUCAAGGAAGAAAGGAGAGCCUUCAGACCACCCUGAUGUGGGAUGGAGAUGCAAAGAGAAUGUACAUCGAUGGUGCAUCAUUGUUUGGCUUUUUGUCCCUCUCCUUUCUCUCUUUUUUCUGUUAUUUUCACCUGGGAGUGGAGGACGAGCCCAGCCUGACCAGCCAGGUACAUUUUCCUGCUCUGCAUUUUGCAACACCCACAUUCUUUUGUCUACAUUCUUUUUCGCUCUAACUGCUCCAACUCACUCACUGACCUUGUUUACAUCUUAACCCCAUGAUCACCCCUGUUUUACUCUGUCAGUGACAACCCUCCUCUCCCACCCUCAUAAUUUCUGUCUCUUUCGCUGCUCUCACAGAGGGGAUUUGACCCGAAAUAUUGACUGUUUUCUUUUCCUGCAGAUGUAGCCUGACCUGUUGACUAUCUCAAACAUUUUCUAUUUUUAUUUUGGAUUUCCAACAUCCAAAAUAAUUAUUUUUAUUUUUUUCACUAUUCUUAUCUACAUUAGAUGUAUUAUUGACCCUGUGCAAAGUCAAAUCUUAGACAGAGACAUCAAGCCUCCAUCAAAUUAUAUUACAAGUUUAACUGUGCCACACCCAACCCCAUAACUUUCAGGUCAAUAUCCCAUUUUAAAUAAGAACAAACUUGCCAAUUGCCCUUAAGACAUGGUUUCCCUGAGAACUAGAACUUUACGUGUUGUUCUUUGGAUUUGCCAUUAAUUCCCACCAUAUCCUUCCCAUUCAUUAAUUUCUGUCCUGAUUUCUCUACUCAGAGUCAUAGGGAGAAUGCAGAAAUAGACCCUUCAGCCCAUUAAGAGGGCUAGAAUAUAACAGCAAAGACGUAAUACUGAGGCUUUAGAAAACAUUGGUCUGACCACACCUGUAAUGUUAUGAGCACUUUUGGGUCCCUCAUCUAAGAAAGGAUAUACUGGCAUUAGAGAUGGUCCAGAGGAGGUUCAUGAGAAUUAUCCUGGGAAUGAAAGGGUUAACGUAUGAGAUGCGUUUGAUAGCUUUGGGCCUGUAAUUGCUGGAGUUUAGAAAAAUGAGAGGCAUCUUAUUGAAACCUAGCGGAUAUUGAAUGGUCUAGGAGUUGACAUGGAGAGGAUGUUUCCUACAGUGAGGGAGUCUAGGACCAGAGGGCACAGCCUCAGAAUGGAAGGACAGAUGAGGAGGAAUUUCUUUUGCCAGACUGGUGAAAUUGUGGAAUAUUUUGCCACAGACAGCUGUGGAGGUUGGUAGGUUCUUGAUUUGUCAGGGCAUCAAAGGUUAUCGGGGAGAAGGCAGGAGAAUGGGGUUGAGAGAGAUAAUAAAUCAGCCAUGAUUGAAUAGCGGAGCAGACUCGAUGGGCCAAAUGGCCUGAUUGCGCUCCUAUGUGCAGUUUCUUUUGUACUGUACUAACCAUUUUGUACUGCACUUCAGAAGUUGCUGCAAUGACUCAGAAUUCACUCUCUCCUAUUGAAUUCUAUUCUCUCAGAGCUUGGGAAAGGAAGGCAAACAUACCAAGUCUUCUUAUCUAUUUCCACUGCCUUCUGAAAGCUCCAGUUGAAUUUAUGCGACUGGUGGCUUACCUACUGUCAUAAGCCUGAGUGAUCUGGUUACCAUCCUCUUGCUGCAAGAAAUAGUUUAGAUUUGUAGAGUCAUAGAACACUACAGCACAGAAACAGUCCCUUUGACUCAUCUAGUCUGUGCCAAGUUAUUACUCUGCCUAGUCCCACCAACCUGCACCCAGACCAAAGCCCUCCAUACCCCUCCCAUCCCUGUACUUAGCCAAUUUUUUCUUGGACGUUGAAAUCAAGCCAACAUCCGUCACUUCUGCUGGCAGCUCAUUCUACACUCACACCACCUUUUGAGUGAACCAAUUCCCCCUCAUGUUUCCCUUAAACAUUACACCUUCUACCCUUAACCUAUGACCUCUAGUUCUAGGCUCACCCAAUCUAAGUGGAAAAACACUUGAAUGCAUUUACACACUAAAUGCUGGUGGAAUGCAGUCAGGAUGAAGGGUCUUGGCCCAAAACGUCGACAGUGCUUCUCCCUAUAGAUGCUGCAUGGCCUGCUGCGUUCCACCAGCAUUUUGUGUGUGUUGCUUGAAUUUCCAGAACCUGCAGAUUUACCCUGUCUUCUGUAUACCCCUCAUAAUUUUAUAUACCUCUGUCAAAUCUCCCUUCAUUCUCCUAUGCUCCACGGAAUACAGUCAUAAUCUAUUCAACCUUUUCCCUAUAACUCAGGUCCUAAAGUCCUAGCAAUGUCCUUGUAAAUUUUUUCUGUACUCUUUCAACCUUAUUUGCAUCUUUCCUCUAGGUAGGUGACCAAAACUGCACACAAUACUCCAAAUUAGGCCUCACCCUUAUACAACUUCAACAUAACAUCAAAUCUCCUGUACUCAAGACUUUGAUUUAUGAAGGUCAAUGAGCCAGAGGCUCUCAUUAUGGCCCUAUCUACCAGUUUCUUCUGAUCUGUGUUGUCAAAUACCACCCCCACUCUGCCCAGCCCCCAUUUUCAAAAUCUCCAAUGUCAGUCUCUCCAGAAAGUUGAACCUCAUCAUCCCUGGUCCCAUUCUGUUUUGUCUCCUCUACACCCGCCCUAACGGAGCAUUGGGCAGAAUAGCCCAGCUGAAGCUUGACCAGACACUUAGUCCAGUUUCAUUCUACUGAUAUGAUUCCGAUCAGAAACAAGCAGGGAUGUUGUAAACUUCACCGAGCCAGUGAUGAUGUAGUUCGGAUGGUAGUCUCCUGGGACUUCUCUACUGCAUUAAAAUUAGAAACAGAAGACUGUGGAUUGUCUGUCAAUUACAUUGACAGUGCACAACUGAGAAAGUGGAGAAGCCAAACAUGAAAGAGAUCAUACUGAUGCAUUUAAUCAGCAUAAAAUCCAAAGUGACAGCUUUAUGAAAGCCAGGUCAUGCAAAGAUUUUUCUAAACUCUUUGAGGUCACAGCACACUUGGGAAGUUUUCUGGAACUUGUCUUAGAUCAAAUCGUUGCCAAGGUUUCUGUUCUGAGGUAUGUCUGAAAUGAACCUCUCAUGGGCUCCAAAAUGAAAUUAUAAAUUGGAUUAAUUGGCAAAAUGGGAAACAGAGGGAAAGUGAUGGCUCUAAUUGGUAAAUGAUGGGCAGCAAAAUGCUAGGAAUCAUUAUGGCAUUUAAUGGGAAGAUGUGUUGGAACUAUUUAUGUUCAAAACUUGAGCCGACUGGGGUGUGAAGUAUUGAACCACAUGAGGAUAUGAUAAAUUGUUUUAGUUUGGAAUGCUUUGUCUGAAUGAGGCUGGAUGAAGAUCCAGCAAAAAUACUCGAAGCAUUAGGCACACCUGAAAAUGGAGAGGAUCAGAAAUAAUUAAAAAGUCUUUCAAAUGAACA
Long non-coding RNA from Hypanus sabinus (Atlantic stingray), 9542 nucleotides. RefSeq lists it as uncharacterized. The record is from RefSeq and is a predicted model, not a curated record. NCBI's taxonomy places the organism in Eukaryota, Metazoa, Chordata, Chondrichthyes, Myliobatiformes, Dasyatidae. The transcript has 3 exons.